AGCGUAUAUUAAAGUUGUUGCAGUUAAAAAGCUCGUAGUUGAAUUUCGGGAUUAGUACGUUGGUCGUGCCUUCGGUACGUACUGGUGUUACUGAUUCCUACCUUCUGACGAACCAUCAUGUCAUUAAUUUGGUGUGGUGGGGAAUCAGGACUGUUACUUUGAAAAAAUUAGAGUGUUUAAAGCAGGCUCGCGCUUGAAUACAUUAGCAUGGAAUAAUGAAAUAGGACGUUGAUCCUAUUUUGUUGGUUUCUAGGAUUGACGUAAUGAUUAAUAGGGAUAGUUGGGGGCAUUAGUAUUCAAUUGUCAGAGGUGAAAUUCUUGGAUUUAUUGAAGACUAACUACUGCGGAAGCAUUUGCCAAGGAUGUUUUCAUUAAUCAAGAACGAAAGUUAGGGGACCGAAGACGAUCAGAUACCGUCGUAGUCUUAACCAUAAACUAUGCCGACUAGGGAUCGGAUGAUGUUAUUUUUAAUGACUC
RNAcentral lists this ribosomal RNA (477 nucleotides) under uncultured Glomeromycotina. RNAcentral describes it as "SSU rRNA". It matches the Rfam family "Eukaryotic small subunit ribosomal RNA", at positions 596 to 1077 of the family's 1831-position model. The record is from RNAcentral. Lineage: Eukaryota; Fungi; Glomeromycota.